UCAAUGACGGUACCUGACGAGGAAGCCACGGCUAACUACGUGCCAGCAGCCGCGGUAAUACGUAGGUGGCGAGCGUUGUCCGGAAUUAUUGGGCGUAAAGGGAGCGCAGGCGGGAAGGUAAGUCUAUCUUAAAAGUGCGGGGCUCAACCCCGUGAGGGGAUGGAAACUAUCUUUCUUGAGUGCAGGAGAGGAAAGCGGAAUUCCUAGUGUAGCGGUGAAAUGCGUAGAUAUUAGGAGGAACACCAGUGGCGAAGGCGGCUUUCUGGACUGUAACUGACGCUGAGGCUCGAAAGCGUGGGGAGCGAACAGGAUUAGAUACCCUGGUAGUCCACGCCGUAAACGAUGAAUGCUAGGUGUAGGAGGUAUCGACCCCUCCUGUGCCGGAGUUAACGCAAUAAGCAUUCCGCCUGGGGAGUACGGCCGCAAGGCUGCAACUCAAAGGAAUUGACGA
Molecule: ribosomal RNA, 451 nt
Filed under: uncultured organism
Description: bacterial SSU rRNA
Rfam family: Bacterial small subunit ribosomal RNA
Source: RNAcentral